Molecule: long non-coding RNA, 992 nt
Organism: Oxyura jamaicensis (ruddy duck)
Lineage: Eukaryota; Metazoa; Chordata; Aves; Anseriformes; Anatidae
Exons: 3
Source: RefSeq, a predicted model, not a curated record
AGUUGACUAAUAAUUUAGGCUUGGCUAUGAUCUAUUUAUUCAUGCUUUAAAAGCGGGUAGGUGUAUUCAUCUCUUCUGUCUUCAGUUUUCAAGUGUGAAGCCUGGCUAUCCAUGCUAUACAGUCAACAGUGUGCUGGUUUUGUGCCUGUUCACCCUCGUUACUGUGAAAACUUCCAGAACAACUUGUACAAUGGUUCAACUUUGUGACGUUCAGCCUGCAUGUCUUCAUACACAGGCUUCAAUGCAAGAAACAAGCUGAGUUGGAAAGAAAGCCUGAGACAGCUCUGUGCCACAGCAUGGCUUUGGAUAACUUUGCAGAUGUUACUUUUCUGUACAUACUGCUGGAGGCUCCCAAGUAUCCAGUCUCUGUCCUGUUCCCUGGCAUUCGGGAGUGCUCCUAGCCUUGGUUCCCAAUGAGGAGUUUUCAGUAAUGCCUUUAGAUUAAAUGUAUAAUUCUUCUGCAGUAACUACACACCUGAAAAUGUUACUGAGACUAUAAAAAGAAAUAUUAGAGCAAUAUGAAGAGAGAGACAUAUUUUAUUUCAAUGAAUCAUUUAAUUGGGUAUUUGUCUAGACAUGAUUUAUCAGGGAAACUAGAAUUUUUCAAGUAGCUUAAGUGUUAUUUCCCAUUUUAUUCUUUGGGCAGGGGAAUGAAAUGAAUUUGGGAAACUAACUGGUCAGUAAAUCUCUUGCUUUGGCUUCUUGAAGUACCUAAUCAUUUCUCAUCUGCCCUUUCAAAAAUACAUCUGAUGCUAACUUUAACUAUUAUACUGCUUCCUGCAGCUGUCUAAAAUGGCAAAUCAUCUUUUCUUGUUAAUUUUCAUGUAUGCCUCCCACAAAAUGGAAUCAUGUGAUGUCUGAGAAACCUUUUUGUCUUUAUAAUGUCUUUCUGUGUCUUCAACUGCUCCAACUCACUGCAUUCUAAAUUUCUGAAACUGUGUUGACAUUAGUAGUGCAACAGACUCUGAAGGCUAUUAUAGGCAGGCAGGUUG